This 252-nucleotide ribosomal RNA is filed under the name uncultured bacterium. Its description in RNAcentral is "partial 16S ribosomal RNA". It matches the Rfam family "Bacterial small subunit ribosomal RNA", at positions 524 to 776 of the family's 1533-position model. The record is from RNAcentral.
UACGGAGGGUGCAAGCGUUAAUCGGAAUUACUGGGCGUAAAGCGUGCGUAGGUGGUUCGUUAAGUCCGUUGUGAAAGCCCCGAGCUCAACUUGGGAAUUGCAGUGGAUACUGGCGAGCUGGAGUGCGGUAGAGGAAGGUGGAAUUCCCGGUAUAGCGGUGAAAAUGCGUAGAGAUCGGGAGGAACACCAGUGGCGAAGGCGGCCUUCUGGACCAGCACUGACACUCAAGCACGAAAGCGUGGGAGCAACAGG